UGCGUAGGCGGCUUUUCAAGUCAGGUGUAAAAUCUCCCGGCUCAACUGGGAGGGACCAUCUGAUACUGAAAGGCUAGAGUACAGCAGAGGAGAGUGGAAUUCCCGGUGUAGUGGUGGAAUGCGUAGAUAUCGGGAGGAACACCAGUGGCGAAAGCGGCUCUCUGGGCUGUUACUGACGCUGUUGCACGAAAGCGUGGGUAGCAAACA
Molecule: ribosomal RNA, 207 nt
Filed under: uncultured bacterium
Lineage: Bacteria
Description: partial 16S ribosomal RNA
Rfam family: Bacterial small subunit ribosomal RNA
Source: RNAcentral